ACAUUGGUGGUUCAGUGUAGAAUUCUUGCCUUCCACAGCAGAGACCUGGGUUUGAUUCCCAGCCAGUGCA
Molecule: transfer RNA, 70 nt
Filed under: Loxodonta africana (African savanna elephant)
Lineage: Eukaryota; Metazoa; Chordata; Mammalia; Proboscidea; Elephantidae
Rfam family: tRNA
About the family: Transfer RNA (tRNA) molecules are approximately 80 nucleotides in length.
Source: Rfam by way of RNAcentral